RNAcentral lists this ribosomal RNA (232 nucleotides) under uncultured Pedobacter sp. RNAcentral's name for it is "partial 16S ribosomal RNA". It matches the Rfam family "Bacterial small subunit ribosomal RNA", at positions 30 to 256 of the family's 1533-position model. Lineage: Bacteria; Pseudomonadati; Bacteroidota; Sphingobacteriia; Sphingobacteriales; Sphingobacteriaceae. The record is from RNAcentral.
UGAACGCUAGCGGCAGGCCUAAUACAUGCAAGUCGAACGAUACCAGAGAGCUUGCUUUCUGGGAGAGUGGCGCACGGGUGCGUAACGCGUAUGCAACCUACCUUAAUCAGGGGGAUAGCCUCUCGAAAGAGAGUAUUAACACCGCUAUAAAAAUCACACUUCGGACAUCGAAGAAUGAUCAAAUAUUUAUAGGAUUAAGAUGGGCAUGCGUGACUAUUAGCUAGUUGGUAAG